RNAcentral lists this long non-coding RNA (227 nucleotides) under Elaeis guineensis (African oil palm). RNAcentral describes it as "long non-coding RNA (EGUI_LNC025095)". The record is from RNAcentral. Lineage: Eukaryota; Viridiplantae; Streptophyta; Magnoliopsida; Arecales; Arecaceae.
UGUGGAUGCUAUCUUACAGGUGCUCGAUACCGACGAUAGAUGAUGAAAAGUUAGCCGCAACAGAUUGGCGCACUAGGUAGGGGGAAAGAUAAUAUUGCAUCAUGACAAAAAUCAGAGUCUAAUGCUCGACUGCAACUGGAUUAGCAAGACACUCUUUCCAUCGGAAAGUGGUUCCUCCCCUUCCUUCAAUAGCAGAACCUAGUUUCUCACAUCCCGUGAUCACCAUG